AAUUUAUUACAUGACUUAAAACUGACAAAUUGCUAGCUACUACCAGCUAAAUUAUUCUCAUAAAUUCUAAAUAAAUACUUAUGUUCAUAAUUACAGCAUCAGCUUCGUACCUAGUAGCUGUAGAAAAAUUCUAGAACCCAAUAGCUGCGUCACAGUAAUAUUACAUUUCUCCUGGAAGCAUAGUGUCUUCUGGUAGAUCACAGAAAGCUAUACCCUCUCCGGUAAGGUGGGCCACACAUCUUUUCUCAGCUAGCAACUCACCUUCUGUCUUAGUGAUUUUCUUUAGAAGGUAGUCAUCAAAUAUUACAUCUUUGACAAUUUCAUAAUCACCAUCUCCUUUUGAUCUGCAAGGCAUGCUGAAAACUAGACCCUCUGCAAUGCCAUAAAGAUUUCCAUUAGUAUAGACUCCAGAAGAAAACCAAUCACCCUCAGGGGUGGGGAUUAUUAGAGACUUUAUAGUAGCAUCAACAAUGGACACAGCAGUUGAUGCAGCGGAAGAUCGUCCCCAUUUCUGAAUAAGCACUCCACCUCUCUUCUGGACUAUCUCAGUGAACUCCUCUUCUAACCACUUGUGAUCUUUGAUAACCUCUUUUACAGGUAAACCAUUGAUUCUAGCAUUUAGAAAGUCUGGAACCUGAGUGGUUGAGUGAUUUCCCCAGAUGGUCACAUUUGACACUUUAUCAUAGAACACACCUGCUUUUAGGGCAAGCUGGCAUUUUGCCCUGUUCUCAUCUAACCUAGUCAAAGCAUGGAAAUUCUUUGCAGGUAUAUUUGGAGCAUUUUUCAAACAAAUUAAAGCAUUGGUGUUACAAGGGUUACCCACUACUAUCACCUUGACAUUGCGAGAUGCAACAGCAUUGAGAGCCUUUCCCUGCUCAGCAUAAAUCUGCCCGUUGAUAUCUAGUAAGCCGGCUCGUUCCAUGCCAGGCCCUCGUGGCUUUGCUCCAAUCAACAAAGCCCAUUCAAUGUCUUCAAACACUUCAUAAGGAUUUAUUCCAAUGCUCACCUCCCUCAACAAAGGAUACAACGAAUCCUCAAGUUCCAUUGCAACUCCUUCAAGAGCUUGAAAUGAUCUUUCAGAUCCCAACAGUUUUAAUGCGAUUGGUUGAUCUGGCCCAAAAACCUCGCCAGAUGCAAGUUUAAAAAGUAGAUGAUUAGAUAUCAUCCCAGCAGCACCAGAAACUGCUAUAUUAAUUAGUUUCUUCCAUGAUUUUGUCUCCUCUUCAGCCCUGAGAUCAUAUGUUUGGCAGAAAACACCAAAGCAUUCAGACUUGUCCUUGGGCUUUUGGGUCUGGACUGGAACUGGGGCUUGAACUUGAUUUAUAGAGCAAGCGAUAGUACUGUUUCGAGGUCUAAAGGAGCGGCGAAAGCGAAGAGAGAGAUGGGUGGAAGAAAGUG
RNAcentral lists this unclassified non-coding RNA (1398 nucleotides) under Hevea brasiliensis (rubber tree). Lineage: Eukaryota; Viridiplantae; Streptophyta; Magnoliopsida; Malpighiales; Euphorbiaceae. The record is from RNAcentral.